GGCAGCAGCUCAAAUUUGAAAUCUGGGGCCCUCCGGCCUCCGAGUUGUAAUUUGGAGAGGCAUCUUCGGGGAGGGGGCGCUGGCCCAUGUUCCUUGGAACAGGACGUCGCAGAGGGUGAGAAUCCCGUGCCAGGCCGGCUGCCUCCGCCCCGGUGAAGGGCCUUCGACGAGUCGAGUUGUUUGGGAAUGCAGCUCCAAGUGGGUGGUAAAUUUCAUCUAAAGCUAAAUACCGGCGGGAGACCGAUAGCGCACAAGUAGAGUGAUCGAAAGAUGAAAAGCACUUUGAAAAUAGAGUCAAAAAGUACGUGAAAUUGUUGAAAGGGAAGCGCUUGAGGCCAGACUCGGACCCGGGCAAACAUCGCGCCCCCAGGGGCCGUGCAAUUGCCUGGGGCCGGGCCAGCAUCGGUCGGCGUGGCGGGACAAAGGCGCGGGGAAUGUGGCUCCCCUCGGGGAGUGUUAUCAGGCCCGCGCCCAAUGCCGCCUACGCCGACUGAGGACCGCGCCGCCCGGCUAGGAUGCUGGCUUAAUGGCCUUCAGCGACCCGUCUUGAAACACGGA
Molecule: ribosomal RNA, 558 nt
Filed under: Helvella acetabulum
Lineage: Eukaryota; Fungi; Ascomycota; Pezizomycetes; Pezizales; Helvellaceae
Description: eukaryotic LSU rRNA
Rfam family: Eukaryotic large subunit ribosomal RNA
Source: RNAcentral